UUGAACGCUGGCGGCAUGCCUUACACAUGCAAGUCGAACGGUAGAGGGGCAACCCUUGAGAGUGGCGAACGGGUGAGUAAUAUAUCGGAACGUGCCCAGUCGUGGGGGAUAACGCAGCGAAAGCUGCGCUAAUACCGCAUACGAUCUAUGGAUGAAAGCGGGGGAUCGCAAAGACCUCGCGCGAUUGGAGCGGCCGAUAUCAGAUUAGGUAGUUGGUGGGGUAAAAGCCCACCAAGCCG
Molecule: ribosomal RNA, 239 nt
Filed under: uncultured bacterium
Lineage: Bacteria
Description: partial 16S ribosomal RNA
Rfam family: Bacterial small subunit ribosomal RNA
Source: RNAcentral